Molecule: ribosomal RNA, 427 nt
Filed under: uncultured bacterium
Lineage: Bacteria
Description: bacterial SSU rRNA
Rfam family: Bacterial small subunit ribosomal RNA
Source: RNAcentral
UGGGGAAUUUUGGACAACGGGCGAAAGCCUGAUCCAGCCAUGCCGCGUGCAGGAUGAAGGCCUUCGGGUUGUAAACUGCUUUUGUACGGAACGAAAAGACUCCUUCUAAUAAAGGGGGUCCAUGACGGUACCGUAAGAAUAAGCACCGGCUAACUACGUGCCAGCAGCCGCGGUAAUACGUAGGGUGCGAGCGUUAAUCGGAAUCACUGGGCGUAAAGCGUGCGCAGGCGGUUAUAUAAGACAGUUGUGAAAUCCCCGGGCUCAACCUGGGAACUGCAUCUGUGACUGUAUAGCUAGAGUACGGUAGAGGGGGAUGGAAUUCCGCGUGUAGCAGUGAAAUGCGUAGAUAUGCGGAGGAACACCGAUGGCGAAGGCAAUCCCCUGGACCUGUACUGACGCUCAUGCACGAAAGCGUGGGGAGCAAACA